ACUUCUGUUGCUUUGGCUGGCCCUCGGGCCGGUCAGAGGACCUUAACCCUUGAAUCUUUGAUGUCUGAGUACUAUAUAAUAGUUAAAACUUUCAACAACGGAUCUCUUGGUUCUGGCAUCGAUGAAGAACGCAGCGAAAUGCGAUAAGUAAUGUGAAUUGCAGAAUUCAGUGAAUCAUCGAAUCUUUGAACGCACAUUGCGCCCUCUGGUAUUCCGGGGGGCAUGCCUGUUCGAGCGUCAUUACAACCCUCAAGUUUUACUUGGUGUUGGGCUCGCCCCCUGUGGGCCUGCCUCAAAAGCAGUGGCGGCUCCGUCCGAUCUCAAGCGCAGUAAUGCUCGUCGCUUGUUGGUCUCGGCGGGUGCUUGCUAACAACCCCCAUCUUAAAAAUUGUUGACCUCGGAUCAGGUAGGGAUACCCGCUGAACUUAAGCAUAUCAAUAAGCGGAGGAAAAGAAACCAACAGGGAUUGCCUCAGUAACGGCGAGUGAAGCGGCAACAGCUCAAAUUUGAAAGCUGGCUCCUUCGGGGCCCGCGUUGUAAUUUGUAGAGGAUGUUUCGGGUGCGGUGCCGGUCUAAGUUCUUUGGAACAAGACGUCAUAGAGGGUGAGAAUCCCGUAUGUGACUGGUUGCCUGUGUCCAUGUGAAACUCCUUCGACGAGUCGAGUAGUUUGGGAAUGCUGCUCAAAAUGGGAGGUGUAUUUCUUCUAAAGCUAAAUACUGGCCAGAGACCGAUAGCGCACAAGUAGAGUGAUCGAAAGAUGAAAAGCACUUUGGAAAGAGAGUUAAACAGUACGUGAAAUUGUUGAAAGGGAAGCGCUUGCAAUCAGACUUGCGCGGCGUCGAUCAGCCUGGGUUCUCCCUGGUGUACUCGGCGCCGCUCAGGCCAGCAUCAGUUUCGGCGGUGGGAUAAAGGCUCAGGGAACGUGAGUUGCUUCGGUGACUGUUAUAGCCCUGGGUGCAAUGCCGCCUGCCGGGACUGAGGACCGCGCU
RNAcentral lists this ribosomal RNA (990 nucleotides) under Leotiomycetes sp. genotype 712 JMUR-2016. RNAcentral describes it as "eukaryotic LSU rRNA". The stretch from base 393 to 990 matches the Rfam family "Eukaryotic large subunit ribosomal RNA", at positions 1 to 601 of the family's 3401-position model. Lineage: Eukaryota; Fungi; Ascomycota; Leotiomycetes. The record is from RNAcentral.